Molecule: long non-coding RNA, 323 nt
Organism: Mizuhopecten yessoensis (Yesso scallop)
Lineage: Eukaryota; Metazoa; Mollusca; Bivalvia; Pectinida; Pectinidae
Exons: 3
Source: RefSeq, a predicted model, not a curated record
CGUUGACAACCUGAACACGUAGGUCUCUUACUCCCGGACCGUUGAAAUGUCGUCGCUGUCUUUACUUUGUAUGAUUCUACUCUUGGGUGCUCUUCGUUCACAAGAAUAUGACGGAGGAUGUAAACAGGCAUGUCCGAUGUCUUAUAUGCCAGUGUGUGCGGACAAUGGACAGACAUUUGACAAUGAAUGCCAGGUUACUGUCGCGAGUUGCAAACAAAGACGACAGCUAAAGGUCAUACACCGUGGCAACUGUUAAGGAAGACAACUAUCGGGAUUACCUCCCUUUAUCUUACAGAUGUAAAUUUAUCUUCAAUAAAUAUUCU